Molecule: non-coding RNA, 114 nt
Organism: Acanthosepion pharaonis
Lineage: Eukaryota; Metazoa; Mollusca; Cephalopoda; Sepiida; Sepiidae
Source: the annotation of a GenBank genome assembly
UUUCGGCCACAUCGCGAUGAAACAUCGGUUCCCGUAUGAUCACUAAAGUUAAGCAAGGUCGAGCCUGGGCAGUAUCUACAUGAAUGACCGCUUGGGGAUAGCAGGUGCUACAAG